CUCAAUUGAAAAUUAAUUUUUAAUAACAUUCAUAUAACAAUAGCCAAUUAUUUUGACCUGGAAAAACCGAAACGAUCCUCUCAAACCAAAUGCAGUGUCAUUGGCAUCAUAGACAUCUUCACAGAUAUUUCACCUAUACCAAAUCUUUAGAGUUUACUUCAAACAUAUUCUCCACUGAAUUUGAUGUGGCAAAAGAUUUACAAGAAUCAAUGAGAUGCAAAAACUGAUGGAUCGUGACACUGCAUAAAGAAAAAGAUAUUAGUAAGGUUCACUUUCCUGCGACAUCAUUAGUAUUUGAUCAAUAAAGAGCCAUUAACAGAAGUGAAAGCCUUGGCCUUAAAGGCAACUUUGAAUUCCAAAUAAAAGAGGCUAGAAAGAAUUGAAAAGAAAUGACUACUAUUUAUGGGAAAAUUCUGACAUGAAGAUGCCUGAUUUCCAAUACUCUGAGCCCUAAAAUCUUGCUAACCGAAUAACAUAGUUAUUCAUCACAUCCCAACUAAAAUUU
Molecule: long non-coding RNA, 505 nt
Filed under: Olea europaea subsp. europaea
Lineage: Eukaryota; Viridiplantae; Streptophyta; Magnoliopsida; Lamiales; Oleaceae
Source: RNAcentral